Molecule: long non-coding RNA, 968 nt
Organism: Papaver somniferum (opium poppy)
Lineage: Eukaryota; Viridiplantae; Streptophyta; Magnoliopsida; Ranunculales; Papaveraceae
Exons: 2
Source: RefSeq, a predicted model, not a curated record
UUGGUACUACACAUGUGGCCUUCAAUGACCUUAUCUUCAUUUCGUCUUUCUUUCAAGUCAAAAUUGAACAACGGAUUGAGAUUACUAUUACUAAAGACCCUCUCAAAACUAACAGUAGAGAUCAUAAUAAUAUACCUAGUACUAGAGAAAUGCCGUCAUUGUUAUCCGCAAUUCCACUUCUAUUUGUACUACUAAUGGUGUCUUAUGCAACUAGAGAAGCAAAUAAGGUAGCAGCAACAAACUUAGUACAAGCAGUAUCAACACCAGCGAGAUCGAUAAGAAGAAGUGAUAAGGUUGCUAAACGAAUAAUCAGGGACGGUAGUAGGGGUGGCUUACCCAGGCUGUAGCCCACCCCAAAAUGCCUAAAAGUUUAUUUAUGCCAUUGUAAUUCUUUAAGAAAAUAAUAUUAGCCCAGCUAGAGGGAACAUCAGCCGGCUAUACUUUUUACACUAUUUUUUACGUUGGGUUUAUCAGCUCUCCAUAAGGUUCUCUUCGCCUUCACCUUUUUAUCUUGUACUUUUUUCUUUUCCGAGUCUUAGACAUCUAGAAUCUCAUUUAUGUUGUAGUUUGAUCUAUGUAUCCAUACUGAAUUAACACUGAUGUGUUUUGCUGCAUUAAUAUAUAUUAACGGUUCAUUGUUUUUUUUUUAUAUAUAUAUUUUCAGUUUAUCAUGUAUUCAUUUUUUUGAAGAUUCUUACUGUGAAUUAAGAAGAGCGCAGCACUCAGUUGGAUGUAUAUUUUCGAUGCAAAAGACAACAUCUACAAACCGUGUCACUAUGUACUUUCAAGCUAAGUAUGAGAACCAUCUGUAAUCCAUAUCAAAGAGAAUUACAUUUUGUUUGGGGGAAAAGUUGCUCCGUUGUAAUCUUUUUCCUUUUUGUUAAUGAAAAAUUGAGCUAAGCGUCUCCCUCUUAAUUGAGCUACAAGUUACAACAAUCUUAAUGGAUAGUUAUCUUUAUUUCUGAGUA